GGAAGAAAAAAAACAGUACUUAACCCCAGAAUCAGUAGAUAGUUAAUUCCUGGUGCCAGAUAGAAGGAUUAUGCACAUUAUGGCUGCAUAAAUCAUGAUUCAGAGGUUGCUGCUCAGGUUGAGUGAAGUUGCAAAUGCAGUAAUAAAGAAUCUCUACCUAAUGCGCUUGAGUCCAACAAAAAUUCAUGCUCAAGCCAGAUGAGAACAUUUGAUUUGUGGAUGAUGUUGCGCUCAAUAACAGUAAAAAUCAUAAGAAAGCUCAGGCUAAUGAUGUCACUACUAAGGUUGAAUGAAGUCGCAAGUGCAAAAUAAAGUAGCUCAGCUUAAUGCACAGAAGUCCAAAAAAAAAUUCACGUUCAAGCCAGAUGAGUACAUUUGAUUCGUGGAUGAUGGAAGAUGGAUAAUGUUGCCCAAAAUAACAGUAAAAAUCAUAAAAAACAAGACAAAUGCCCUCCAACAGACUUGAACAUCUAAAAGUACAAUGAAUUGUAAAACUAGAAUACAUUGUAACAAGAAGGUACCAAAAACAUUCCCGAUUGGGAACUCGAGUAAACCGCAUUGUAUAACUAAAAUACUGCUGCAAAUUGAAUCUCAAAGGAGAUGACUAACAUUAGAAACGAACUUACACUCACUGCAAGCAAUUUGCUACCAAGCAGAGAUAUGACCACCCAUGAUUGUCAUCUCUUCUUGAAGCCAUACUUCUUCCUUUCAUAGAAUAGAUCUGUUUUUGCACUUCCCAAAUUGACAAUUUUCGGACAUCCAUCUCGGUCUUUCUCCUGUUGAGUACACUCUUUGCAGUAAUAAGCAUCAGAUAUAACCACCCCUCCACAUAUAACACACCGACCUUGGAAGGAUCCAUAGUUGCAUUCAUCGCAGACCCGCACAAGUGUGCAUGGACGCACAUAAGAAUCGCAUAUUACACAUUUACCAUCACACUUCUCACAUAGCCGUCCAAUUGCAAUCCCUGGUUGCUUCCGGCACAUUAUUAAAUCAGGAUGAUGUUUUGCCAUUCUGUCUUAGCUUCCACACCACAAGUUCUCUGAUUCUUGUUUUUCCUUUUUCUUCUACUCUAAUCAACUUCAUUCCGG
Molecule: unclassified non-coding RNA, 1088 nt
Filed under: Hevea brasiliensis (rubber tree)
Lineage: Eukaryota; Viridiplantae; Streptophyta; Magnoliopsida; Malpighiales; Euphorbiaceae
Source: RNAcentral